Molecule: transfer RNA, 82 nt
Organism: Streptomyces sp.
Lineage: Bacteria; Bacillati; Actinomycetota; Actinomycetes; Kitasatosporales; Streptomycetaceae
Rfam family: tRNA
About the family: Transfer RNA (tRNA) molecules are approximately 80 nucleotides in length.
Source: Rfam
GGCGGUGUGCCCGAGUGGCCAAUGGGAGCGGACUGUAAAUCCGUCGGCUUAGCCUACCCAGGUUCGAAUCCUGGCGCCGCCA